This 371-nucleotide ribosomal RNA is filed under the name uncultured organism. Its description in RNAcentral is "bacterial SSU rRNA". It matches the Rfam family "Bacterial small subunit ribosomal RNA", at positions 526 to 896 of the family's 1533-position model. The record is from RNAcentral.
CGUAGGGUGCAAGCGUUAAUCGGAAUUACUGGGCGUAAAGCGUGCGCAGGCGGUGAUGUAAGACGGGUGUGAAACUCCCCGGGCUUAACCUGGGAACUGCAUUUGUGACUGCAUCGCUGGAGUGCGGCAGAGGGGGAUGGAAUUCCGCGUGUAGCAGUGAAAUGCGUAGAUAUGCGGAGGAACACCGAUGGCGAAGGCAAUCCCCUGGGCCUGCACUGACGCUCAUGCACGAAAGCGUGGGGAGCAAACAGGAUUAGAUACCCUGGUAGUCCACGCCCUAAACGAUGUCAACUGGUUGUUGGGUCUUCACUGACUCAGUAACGAAGCUAACGCGUGAAGUUGACCGCCUGGGGAGUACGGCCGCAAGGUUG